GGGUUGUGAGGUUAAGCGACUAAGCGUACACGGUGGAUGCCCUGGCAGUCAGAGGCGAUGAAGGACGUGCUAAUCUGCGAAAAGCGUCGGUAAGGUGAUAUGAACCGUUACAGCCGGCGAUGUCCGAAUGGGGAAACCCAGUGCAAUUCGUUGCACUAUCGUUAACUGAAUACAUAGGUUAACGAGGCGAACCGGGGGAACUGAAACAUCUAAGUACCCCGAGGAAAAGAAAUCAACCGAGAUUCCCCCAGUAGCGGCGAGCGAACGGGGAGCAGCCCAGAGUCUGAAUCAGCUUGUGUGUUAGUGGAACGGUCUGGAAAGUCCGACGGUACAGGGUGAUAGUCCCGUACACCAAAAUGCACAGGCUGUGAACUCGAAGAGUAGGGCGGGACACGUGGUAUCCUGUCUGAAUAUGGGGGGACCAUCCUCCAAGGCUAAAUACUCCUGACUGACCGAUAGUGAACCAGUACCGUGAGGGAAAGGCGAAAAGAACCCCGGCGAGGGGAGUGAAAAAGAACCUGAAACCGUGUACGUACAAGCAGUGGGAGCACCUUCGGGUGUGACUGCGUACCUUUUGUAUAAUGGGUCAGCGACUUAUAUUCUGUAGCAAGGUUAACCGUAUAGGGGAGCCGCAGGGAAACCGAGUCUUAACUGGGCGUUAAGUUGCAGGGUAUAGACCCGAAACCCGGUGAUCUAGCCAUGGGCAGGUUGAAGGUUGGGUAACACUAACUGGAGGACCGAACCGACUAAUGUUGAAAAAUUAGCGGAUGACUUGUGGCUGGGGGUGAAAGGCCAAUCAAACCGGGAGAUAGCUGGUUCUCCCCGAAAGCUAUUUAGGUAGCGCCUCGUGAAUUCAUCUUCGGGGGUAGAGCACUGUUUCGGCUAGGGGGUCAUCCCGACUUACCAACCCGAUGCAAACUACGAAUACCGAAGAAUGUUAUCACGGGAGACACACGGCGGGUGCUAACGUCCGUCGUGAAGAGGGAAACAACCCAGACCGCCAGCUAAGGUCCCAAAGUCAUGGUUAAGUGGGAAACGAUGUGGGAAGGCACAGACAGCCAGGAUGUUGGCUUAGAAGCAGCCAUCAUUUAAAGAAAGCGUAAUAGCUCACUGGUCGAGUCGGCCUGCGCGGAAGAUGUAACGGGGCUAAACCAUGCACCGAAGCUGCGGCAGCGACACUAUGUGUUGUUGGGUAGGGGAGCGUUCUGUAAGCCUGCGAAGGUGACCUGUGAGGGUUGCUGGAGGUAUCAGAAGUGCGAAUGCUGACAUAAGUAACGAUAAAGCGGGUGAAAAGCCCGCUCGCCGGAAGACCAAGGGUUCCUGUCCAACGUUAAUCGGGGCAGGGUGAGUCGACCCCUAAGGCGAGGCCGAAAGGCGUAGUCGAUGGGAAACAGGUUAAUAUUCCUGUACUUGGUGUUACUGCGAAGGGGGGACGGAGAAGGCUAUGUUAGCCGGGCGACGGUUGUCCCGGUUUAAGCAUGUAGGCUGAUUGUCCAGGCAAAUCCGGAUAAUCAAGGCUGAGGUGUGAUGACGAGGCACUACGGUGCUGAAGUAACAAAUGCCCUGCUUCCAGGAAAAGCCUCUAAGCAUCAGGUAACAUCAAAUCGUACCCCAAACCGACACAGGUGGUCAGGUAGAGAAUACCAAGGCGCUUGAGAGAACUCGGGUGAAGGAACUAGGCAAAAUGGUGCCGUAACUUCGGGAGAAGGCACGCUGGUGUGUAGGUGAAGUCCCUGCGGAUGGAGCUGAGACCAGUCGAAGAUACCAGCUGGCUGCAACUGUUUAUUAAAAACACAGCACUGUGCAAACACGAAAGUGGACGUAUACGGUGUGACGCCUGCCCGGUGCCGGAAGGUUAAUUGAUGGGGUUAUCCGUAAGGAGAAGCUCUUGAUCGAAGCCCCGGUAAACGGCGGCCGUAACUAUAACGGUCCUAAGGUAGCGAAAUUCCUUGUCGGGUAAGUUCCGACCUGCACGAAUGGCGUAAUGAUGGCCAGGCUGUCUCCACCCGAGACUCAGUGAAAUUGAACUCGCUGUGAAGAUGCAGUGUACCCGCGGCAAGACGGAAAGACCCCGUGAACCUUUACUAUAGCUUGACACUGAACAUUGAGCCUUGAUGUGUAGGAUAGGUGGGAGGCUUUGAAGCGUGGACGCCAGUCUGCGUGGAGCCAACCUUGAAAUACCACCCUUUAAUGUUUGAUGUUCUAACGUUGGCCCCUUACCGGGGUUGCGGACAGUGUCUGGUGGGUAGUUUGACUGGGGCGGUCUCCUCCCAAAGCGUAACGGAGGAGCACGAAGGUUAGCUAAUCCUGGUCGGACAUCAGGAGGUUAGUGCAAUGGCAUAAGCUAGCUUGACUGCGAGCGUGACGGCGCGAGCAGGUGCGAAAGCAGGUCAUAGUGAUCCGGUGGUUCUGAAUGGAAGGGCCAUCGCUCAACGGAUAAAAGGUACUCCGGGGAUAACAGGCUGAUACCGCCCAAGAGUUCAUAUCGACGGCGGUGUUUGGCACCUCGAUGUCGGCUCAUCACAUCCUGGGGCUGAAGUAGGUCCCAAGGGUAUGGCUGUUCGCCAUUUAAAGUGGUACGCGAGCUGGGUUUAGAACGUCGUGAGACAGUUCGGUCCCUAUCUGCCGUGGGCGCUGGAGAAUUGAGGGGGGCUGCUCCUAGUACGAGAGGACCGGAGUGGACGCAUCACUGGUGUUCGGGUUGUCAUGCCAAUGGCACUGCCCGGUAGCUAAAUGCGGAAGAGAUAAGUGCUGAAAGCAUCUAAGCACGAAACUUGCCCCGAGAUGAGUUCUCCCUGAGACUUUAAGUCUCCUGAAGGAACGUU
This 2825-nucleotide ribosomal RNA is filed under the name Klebsiella pneumoniae. RNAcentral describes it as "bacterial LSU rRNA". It matches the Rfam family "Bacterial large subunit ribosomal RNA". The record is from RNAcentral. Lineage: Bacteria; Pseudomonadati; Pseudomonadota; Gammaproteobacteria; Enterobacterales; Enterobacteriaceae.